AGUAGCUCAGCAGGAUAGAGCAACAGCCUCCUAAGCUGUAGGUCGUAGGUUCGAUUCCUAUCUG
RNAcentral lists this transfer RNA (64 nucleotides) under uncultured Cytobacillus sp. It matches the Rfam family "tRNA", at positions 6 to 65 of the family's 71-position model. From Rfam's summary of the family: Transfer RNA (tRNA) molecules are approximately 80 nucleotides in length. Their secondary structure includes four short double-helical elements and three loops (D, anti-codon, and T loops). Lineage: Bacteria; Bacillati; Bacillota; Bacilli; Caryophanales; Bacillaceae. The record is from RNAcentral.